GUGAGUAGUUCAGAGUUUGAUCCUGGCUCAGGACGAACGCUGGCGGCGUGCCUAACACAUGCAAGUCGAACGGAGUUAACCGCUGAAUUGACGCUAGCUUGCUAGAAUAUUUCUUGGUUAACUUAGUGGCGGACGGGUGAGUAACGCGUGAGGAACCUGCCCUUCAGAGGGGGACAACAGUUGGAAACGACUGCUAAUACCGCAUAACGUACAUUGGGGACAUCCCCGAAGUACCAAAGGAGCAAUCCGCUGAAGGAUGGCCUCGCGUCUGAUUAGAUAGUUGGUGAGGUAACGGCUCACCAAGUCGACGAUCAGUAGCCGGACUGAGAGGUUGAACGGCCACAUUGGGACUGAGACACGGCCCAG
Molecule: ribosomal RNA, 366 nt
Filed under: uncultured bacterium
Lineage: Bacteria
Description: bacterial SSU rRNA
Rfam family: Bacterial small subunit ribosomal RNA
Source: RNAcentral